This 328-nucleotide ribosomal RNA is filed under the name uncultured eukaryote. RNAcentral describes it as "partial 18S ribosomal RNA". It matches the Rfam family "Eukaryotic small subunit ribosomal RNA", at positions 1470 to 1796 of the family's 1831-position model. The record is from RNAcentral.
CCCUUAGAUGUCCUGGGCCGCACGCGCGUUACACUGAUGCAUUCAACGAGCUUAUAACCUUGGCCGAGAGGCCUGGGCAAUCUUGUUAACGUGCAUCGUGAUAGGGAUAGAUUAUUGAAAUUAUUAAUCUUGAACGAGGAAUUCCUAGUAAACGCAGAUCAUCAAUCUGCAUUGAUUACGUCCCUGCCCUUUGUACACACCGCACGUCGCACCUACCGAUUGGAUGGUCCGGUGAAGCCUCGGGAUUGUGGUUCUUGCCGCUUUAUUGUGGCGUGACCGCGAGAACUUGUCUAAACCUUAUCAUCUAGAGGAAGGUGAAGUCGUAACA